GUCUGCUUGACACAGCUAUUCCUUACACUAGUUCUGCCACUUUAGACAAUGACCUCGGUCGCAUUCAUCCUGCCUACUGUAUCCAGCCUCAUCAUUUCUAGACAGAGUCAUCAUUCCUUAAUACUUGGGAGUAAAUUUGGUGUGAUUGAAGAACCAGAUAAGAUUAUUAUUCAGCCACUACCAGUUAUUGUAAUUAUAAGAUCUCCAAUCAUCUAUUGAUCUUCUGUUAUGUUUAGAACAUCUACAUCAAAGUGAUCAUACCACUAUGCUAUCCCUGUAUAUUGCCUAUGUUGUACAGUCAGAGCUCUCUGCUGCCUCCCUAUCACUACUUUGAUCUAUUCUUAAGUUCACACCCCUAUCAUGCUUAUAAAGUUACUGUCCCUGGAGUCCUGAUUAAGUUUCUGUCCAGAUUACUGUAAAUGGUGGACUGACAUAGAAGAACAAGCAUGGAAUAAACUCUUUCCUCUCAAA
This is a long non-coding RNA of Mastomys coucha (southern multimammate mouse), 471 nucleotides long. RefSeq lists it as uncharacterized. The transcript has 5 exons. Lineage: Eukaryota; Metazoa; Chordata; Mammalia; Rodentia; Muridae. The record is from RefSeq and is a predicted model, not a curated record.